This 466-nucleotide ribosomal RNA is filed under the name uncultured bacterium. RNAcentral's name for it is "partial 16S ribosomal RNA". It matches the Rfam family "Bacterial small subunit ribosomal RNA", at positions 28 to 507 of the family's 1533-position model. The record is from RNAcentral.
GACGAACGCUGGCGGCGCGCCUAACACAUGCAAGUCGAACGAGCGAGAGAGAGCUUGCUUUCUCGAGCGAGUGGCGAACGGGUGAGUAAUGCGUGAGGAACCUGCCUCAAAGAGGGGGACAACAGUUGGAAACGACUGCUAAUACCGCAUAAGCCCACGGCUCGGCAUCGAGCAGGGGGAAAAGGAGCAAUCCGCUUUGAGAUGGCCUCGCGUCCGAUUAGCUAGUUGGUGAGGUAACGGCCCACCAGGGCGACGAUCGGUAGCCGGACUGAGAGGUUGAACGGCCACAUUGGGACUGAGACACGGCCCAGACUCCUACGGGAGGCAGCAGUGGGGAAUAUUGCACAAUGGGGGAAACCCUGAUGCAGCGACGCCGCGUGGAGGAAGAAGGUCUUCGGAUUGUAAACUCCUGUUGUUGGGGAAGAUAAUGACGGUACCCAACAAGGAAGUGACGGCUAACUACGUG